UUCGCAAUGCCCGAAAGGGUGACGAAGCGACGCCGCGUGUGGGAAGAAGGCCUUCGGGUUGUAAACCACUGUCGGGAGUUAAGAAAUGCAAGGAUAUUAAUAGUGUCUUUGUUUGACUAAGGCUCCGGAGGAAGCCACGGCUAACUCUGUGCCAGCAGCCGCGGUAAUACCGAGGCGGCAAGCGUUGUUCGGAAUUAUUGGGCGUAAAGAGCACGUAGGCGGCUAUGUAAGUCGGUUGUGAAAGCCUUCCGCUCAACGGAAGAACAGCAUCCGAUACUACAUGGCUUGAGUGCGGGAGGGGAGAGUGGAACUUCUGGUGGAGCGGUGAAAUGCGUAGAUAUCAGAAGGAACGCCGGCGGCGAAAGCGGCUCUCUGGCCCAUAACUGACGCUGAGUGUGCGAAAGCUAGGGGAGCAAACGGGAUUAGAUACCCCGGUAGUCCUAGCCGUAAACGAUGGGCACUAAGUAGAGGGGUUUU
Molecule: ribosomal RNA, 477 nt
Filed under: uncultured bacterium
Lineage: Bacteria
Description: bacterial SSU rRNA
Rfam family: Bacterial small subunit ribosomal RNA
Source: RNAcentral